UGGCAUGUUUCCAAGGGCUGUGGCCUGUUGUGGCCAUGGGAUCUCCAACUGCAUGCGAGAGCAACGUGGAGAGACUUUGACAGCACAGGUCAGCAUAAUACCUGCAGCUGCCACUCGCCUUUCCUAUAAUC
Small nucleolar RNA from Cervus hanglu yarkandensis (Yarkand deer), 131 nucleotides. Ensembl annotates it as small nucleolar RNA, H/ACA box 44. Its record names the gene SNORA44. NCBI's taxonomy places the organism in Eukaryota, Metazoa, Chordata, Mammalia, Artiodactyla, Cervidae. The record is from Ensembl.